UGCCGGGUAGCUCACUGGGUAAAGCAUCGCGUUGUGAGCAGAAGUGAUUAUCACGUCGCAGGUUCGAUUCCCGCUUCGUAC
Molecule: non-coding RNA, 81 nt
Organism: Gymnothorax javanicus (giant moray)
Lineage: Eukaryota; Metazoa; Chordata; Actinopteri; Anguilliformes; Muraenidae
Source: the annotation of a GenBank genome assembly